This 235-nucleotide long non-coding RNA is filed under the name Coffea arabica (coffee). Its description in RNAcentral is "long non-coding RNA (CARA_LNC001363)". The record is from RNAcentral. Lineage: Eukaryota; Viridiplantae; Streptophyta; Magnoliopsida; Gentianales; Rubiaceae.
UUCCUCAAUGAUUGGCUGCUCCUCAGCCUCAGCUGCUACCAGAUGCUGCUGUUUUCGACCUUGGCGGUGUGAGAUUGUGGUAAGUGCGAUGGAGUCAAUUAGAAUGGCACAAGGCAAUAUGUUACAAGCACAUUAAGCACAAUAUUACGGGCCAACCUUGGUUUUUUACCAAGUUUGUAUAAUAUUUGGUUUAAAAAAAUUCCUGUUGCUGCUUCAUCUGCCGGCAAGAGAGAGG